GCUUCUUGGGUGACGAGCGGCGGACGGGUGAGUAAUACAUAGGAAUCUGCCUGGUAGUGGGGGACAACAGUUGGAAACGACUGCUAAUACCGCAUACGCCCUACGGGGGAAAGCAGGGGAUCUUCGGACCUUGCGCUAUCAGAUGAGCCUAUGUCGGAUUAGCUUGUUGGUGAGGUAAAGGCUCACCAAGGCGAUGAUCCGUAGCUGGUCUGAGAGGAUGAUCAGCCACACUGGGACUGAGACACGGCCCAGACUCCUACGGGAGGCAGCAGUGGGGAAUAUUGGACAAUGGGGGCAACCCUGAUCCAGCCAUGCCGCGUGUGUGAAGAAGGCCUUCGGGUUGUAAAGCACUUUCAGUGGUGAGGAAAGGCAAGCGGUUAAUACCCGUUUGCUGUGACGUUAGCCACAGAAGAAGCACCGGCUAACUCCGUGCCAGCAGCCGCGGUAAUACGGAGGGUGCGAGCGUUAAUCGGAAUUACUGGGCGUAAAGCGCGCGUAGGUGGUUCAGUCAGUCAGAUGUGAAAGCCCCGGGCUUAACCUGGGAACUGCACCUGAUACUGCUGGACUAGAGUACGGUAGAGGGCAGUGGAAUUUCCGGUGUAGCGGUGAAAUGCGUAGAGAUCGGAAGGAACACCAGUGGCGAAGGCGACUGCCUGGACCGAUACUGACACUGAGGUGCGAAAGCGUGGGUAGCAAACAGGAUUAGAUACCCUGGUAGUCCACGCCGUAAACGAUGUCAACUAGCCGUUGGGGGACUUGAUCCUUUAGUGGCGCAGCUAACGCGAUAAGUUGACCGCCUGG
RNAcentral lists this ribosomal RNA (801 nucleotides) under uncultured bacterium. RNAcentral describes it as "bacterial SSU rRNA". It matches the Rfam family "Bacterial small subunit ribosomal RNA", at positions 79 to 876 of the family's 1533-position model. The record is from RNAcentral.